Molecule: ribosomal RNA, 245 nt
Filed under: uncultured Actinomycetales bacterium
Lineage: Bacteria; Bacillati; Actinomycetota; Actinomycetes; Actinomycetales
Description: partial 16S ribosomal RNA
Rfam family: Bacterial small subunit ribosomal RNA
Source: RNAcentral
UGCUCGAGUGGCGAACGGAUGAGUAACACGUGAGUAACCUGCCCUUGACUUUGGGAUAACUUCAGGAAACUGGGGCUAAUACCGGAUAGGAGCUCCUGCUGCAUGGUGGGGGUUGGAAAGUUUCGGCGGUUGGGGAUGGACUCGCGGCUUAUCAGCUUGUUGGUGGGGUAGUGGCUUACCAAGGCUUUGACGGGUAGCCGGCCUGAGAGGGUGACCGGCCACAUUGGGACUGAGAUACGGCCCAG